GGGAUUCCCUCGUUCGAGCUCCACUCUCCUCUUCCGCUCUCUCCUCUUCUCUGCGUGCACUCACCGUAAAUCCGCACUCCGGUGGCGCGCGGCUGGUGGUUUCUGGUCUUUCUCGUUCUCGACAAUGUCGGAAGGUAAUCAAAGUUUUUUUUUCUGGUCGCCGGUUGAGCGGUGUUCUGAAUUCCUUCCCUGAAGAGUCCGUUUAAUUUAAUGGCAGAUUAGAAAAUAUGUCCGUCUUGAUUCUUAGAGAUAGUUCAUGGGAUUUUUCCCAGACCAGAUUCCUUAAAUCUUCAUGAGGUUUGGGCCGUAGCGCAUCGUGCUGUCGCCGUUUUUGGGAUGAGAACUUUGUCUUACCGCUUGUCCUCUGCGUGCUGUGAAUCACUGUGGGGGAAAACAGACCCGUGUUAGAACGAAAGAAACACAUGAAAACGGAGACUGGCGGAUGAUGAGGUGGUGCUGGUGGAGCUAGCUACCUCGGCUAUCAACUCUGAUGACCCCGCGGAUGGAUUGACCUGUGUCGGCUAAAAGUUAUGGGAAACCCUAAAGUGCGAGGGUGUGGUAUGGCCUGGGGGGUGGAUGAUUUGAAAUAUUUGAAAAUGCAACUAGAAAUGUGUUUAAUGAAUCUAAGCUGUUACAAUGAAACAGUAG
Molecule: long non-coding RNA, 648 nt
Filed under: Spirodela polyrhiza (greater duckweed)
Lineage: Eukaryota; Viridiplantae; Streptophyta; Magnoliopsida; Alismatales; Araceae
Description: long non-coding RNA (SPOL_LNC001153)
Source: RNAcentral